RNAcentral lists this long non-coding RNA (3420 nucleotides) under Dasypus novemcinctus (nine-banded armadillo). Its description in RNAcentral is "lncRNA (ENSDNOG00000052265.1)". The record is from RNAcentral. Lineage: Eukaryota; Metazoa; Chordata; Mammalia; Cingulata; Dasypodidae.
GGGGAGUUCUGGAUACACAGGAGAAAAAUGAGCAUGAUGAGAAGGAUGAGGAGGGUUAGAGGAGAAGGAGAAAGGUAUUUAAUUAUCUAAAGGGAAGGUGCUUCUCCCAUUGUGGUAGAAUCUUUCCACACACAAUUCCCUCGUAAACUCUGGAUCCUCUUGAAAUCUAUUGAUAUGACUGCACCAAGUCUGGAGGUUUUUACAAUGUUUCAAGUUCUGAGACCACUAGGAUUCAUUCAUAAGAAUUACCCCUAUCCAGGACCUCUGUAAACAAGUGGAAGUAUUAAUGCAUCAAUACAAACAUCUGUGGAGAUACCAGGCUGGACAGACCAAACCCAGGUGCACAAAGGCAUGGAGGAGGGACUUGGAGCCGUCCGGGGGCCACGGCGAGUUUGCCUCCUGCCAUGGGACAUGAAGGGGACAAGGUCGCACAGGAGGGAGUGGCUCCUCAGCAGUUUCACUGUAGUGGCCAAGUCCAAAGAGAAGCAACAACGUGGUCACCUGCCGUGGAAGCCCAGAAGAGACGCGUGAGCGCUUUGGGAAGACGCUAAUUGCUUUGACAUAUUUCUGCAAAGCUUGCAAAAAUCAGCACUUGGGAGGGCAGAGGCGAAGGAUUGUGAUGUGGAAGAAAAAGGCGCGGAGAUGUCAUCGGCCGAGGUCUGCCUUGGGUUCAAGAGCAGUUUUCACCUGCAGAAGAUGUUGGUCAGCAGCAAAUCAGUUGGUGAGAAGCAUUACAAAGAAAGGAAAAGAUGACAUCCUUUCCCUUGGGUUCUCUAUUCCCAGGCAAGAGGCCACAAGUCACAGAGAACACAUGUCAACAGAAAUGACCAACAGCCACACAAACAGUUACUAAUUCAAGUACAAAACGCAUCUGCGGUGUGGUCACUGAGACAAAUCCGCAAGAUGGUUCUCCGCAAUCGGCGAAUCAGCGAGGACCGGCCACGGAGGAACAUACCCCCCACACAAGGAACUGUUUGUUGAAGUGUUUACCAAAAAAUUCCAUUUCAACGCGGCUGUUCUGACACCAUGGGCGCAAAGACGCACCUUCAGCUCAGAGCUUCCUCCUUUCCCUUCUACUGUGCCUCAAACUCGGCUCAUUCCCAGGAGCAGGUGAGCCAGGAGCCACAGCGGCAUGCAGGGCCGGGGAAGCCGGGGAAGUGGGGGCUGAAAAGCGGGGUCCCCUGGGGGCAGAGUGCCCUAAAGGGACAGUGAGGCCCUGCUGAGAGCCAGGGGGACGGGGAGGAGGCCUGGAGGGGCUAGUGGGAGGCAGACUGCCCCAAGUGAGUCAACGCCCCAGGCAUUCCGCGCCCCUCGAGCACAGCUGAGUGCCCAUCCCUGCCCGGGCCAGGAGGGGUCCGGCGGGGGCAGUGCCCUCAGGAACCAGUCUGGCCAGGAGAUGAGACACACGGACGACGUACAACACAUUGUUCCAGGAAACUCUGGCAGCGCAGGGGACUGCGAAGGAGCCAUCCUCUUGAAAGGGCUUGCUCAGAAAUUGCUGACCCAGCCUUAGCUGCACUAACAAGUGAAUUAUCUUCGGCAUGAUGGAGAGGUCACUCACUGAGUUAUGGGCCUACAGCUCUAUUGCAAUGUUUAUACAGAUAAAAGCACGGGCAUUAAGAGGUCUCGUGAAGCCCCCGUGUGCUUUUUAAAACCACAAGUCAUGUCAGAGAUCGUUCGGUGCCUCCGUGCCACAGGUAAAGAAACGUGCUUGAAUUCAUAUGGUCACUUAGCAGCCCAAGCAGAGAGAGGACCUGGCUCUCCGCCAAGGCGGGUCUCCGAGGUCUGAAAUGAGUUAGAAGCAAUUCUAGCUGCACCUGAAUUAAACCCGCCACCUCGCCCUCCCUCGGUGUUCUACUCCAUUUGCUUGCCCUGUACCCGUCAUUCCCUUCCACGCAUUGCAGGGCCUCUCUACACGGGCAUCAACGGACUUCCUAAGACUCGGAAGCUCAGAUCCCUAAGUCUGUUCCUGGAGCAGUCAACUUCCAUAAAGCAUUUUUUCACUCUACUGUUUACAGGAGGGAGCAGGUGGGAGCCUGUACCUUCCUGACGUGACUCCUUUUCCCAUGAUGUGUGGAUUUUACAGUCUGAUGUCGACACCGUGAGAUGCACAGCCACGUGGUCCCCAUGUCGUGGAAUGCUCCAGGCUGUGGACCGUUCUUCAGCAGUCACUGCGGUGACGUGACUGCGCCACUUCUUGUGUUGUUAACGCGCAGCAAGCCUCCCGACGGGCCCGGCGUCCUGUGGCCGUGACGCCACGCCUGGCACUUGGCAGAUGCUCCAUCACUGCUUAAUCGUCCCACACAUUUAGUGUCUAGUACAGCUCGGCACCGUGCUUGGGGCACAGACGUAAAUAUGAUGUGGCCACUCUCUGCAAGAGGCUCACUCCCAGCUUGAUUCCAUUUAAAUAAUUUUUAACCGACUAAAGCCGUGUGCCCAAGCACCAAGCUGCCCAAGGGUGUCCUGUGGACAUGUCACUUAGGUAGAGCCUCUGGCUUGCUCUGGCUCACAGAUCGAAUUGAUUGGGCCAGCAGCUGGUGACUACUGCACCAGUCCAAACAUGCACUGCCUUCUGCUCGGCUCUCAACUUACAGGCUGACGGCUCAAGAGGCCUCUUUUUCUCCUUCAAAAGUCAAAGAUCUGCCACCUUCCUUCCACUCCUUCCUUGUUAUGUCUUUUGAAACAUUCCCCAAUCUCCGACUUAGAGCAAAAACAGUUGAAGGUUGAGGUACUGAUCCCCAAAAGAAAACAGAGUGGCAGUUUGUCUUCAGUCCUUCGGGUGUUUUGCUCAGGUUGUCCGCGUAAGCCCUGAACAGAAGUUCUUUCACACAUUUGAGAAGAAAUAAGGAUUAUUUGUGUGCCUAAAGGGAAAUGGAUAUCUUUGGCAAUAACAGUACCAUAUAUGAGGUGUUUAGUUCUCAAUGCUUUCCUAAUUUGUAUUUUGAUGGAAUUAAUUUUCUUUAUGGAGCAGGUUAAGCAAUAAAGGAUUUUUUUAAAUCAGUUAUCUAGACACAGUUCCUUCAUCUUUGCAACAUGGUUUGUGCAGACAGAAAAUAAUUUAGCUUACAUGUCAUUAAAAAUUAGCUUAUUUUACUUAGGCAAAAGGGAUAAUUGUGGUGAGUGAUGAGGUAUUAAUACAAUAGAAAAAUAAUCGUUUGGCUGAAAUGUUUUUUAUUAUUGUAGGAGUGCUGAAAUUGUGAGAAUAGCUGUCAUUAGGCCAAGAGUCAUCAGGUAAUCUAUUGUGUCUCCUUUUUACCUAGUGUAAAAGUGUGCAGAGGCCUUCUUCUAUUACGCUUGCUUGCAAACACCACACACAAAUAAAGACAACCACGUGGGAAAAUAAAGCCUGUCUUGGGUGUGAGUUUUGGGGCAACUCCGCCACUUCAUAACAUUAUUUAUCAAGUAUUUUGCAAAUUUCUG